RNAcentral lists this unclassified non-coding RNA (323 nucleotides) under air metagenome. Its description in RNAcentral is "partial contains small subunit ribosomal RNA, internal transcribed spacer 1, and 5.8S ribosomal RNA". The stretch from base 1 to 46 matches the Rfam family "Eukaryotic small subunit ribosomal RNA", at positions 1786 to 1831 of the family's 1831-position model. The record is from RNAcentral.
AAGUCGUAACAAGGUUUCCGUAGGUGAACCUGCGGAAGGAUCAUUAUUGAAGUUGCUGAGGGGUUGCUGCUGGCUCUCCGGAGUAUUGUGCACGCCCUUCUCACUUUACCCUCAUCCACCUGUGCACACACUGUAGAUCUCGGAUACCUUUCGGCUGGAUUUAUCUGGCCGGCUAGGAUUGCUGCUCCUUUACAGGGGCUUCAGUCCGAUUUCCGGGUUCUAUGUCCUUCUCACAUACUCUAAGUAAUGUCAUAGAAUGUAUCAUGGGUCGUAUGACCUUUACAAUUAUAAUACAACUUUCAACAACGGAUCUCUUGGCUCUC